GAUGAACGCUGGCGGCGUGCCUAGUACAUGCAAGUCGAGCGAACAGAUGAGGAGCUUGCUCCUCUGACGUUAGCGGCGGACGGGUGAGUAACACGUGGAUAACCUACCUAUAAGACUGGGAUAACUUCGGGAAACCGGAGCUAAUACCGGAUAAUAUAUUGAACCGCAUGGUUCAAUAGUGGAAGACGGUUUUGCUGUCACUUAUAGAUGGAUCCGCGCCGCAUUAGCUAGUUGGUAAGGUAACGGCUUACCAAGGCAACGAUGCGUAGCCGACCUGAGAGGGUGAUCGGCCACACUGGAACUGAGACACGGUCCAGACUCCUACGGGAGGCAGCAGUAGGGAAUCUUCCGCAAUGGGCGAAAGCCUGACGGAGCAACGCCGCGUGAGUGAUGAAGGUCUUCGGAUCGUAAAACUCUGUUAUUAGGGAAGAACAAAUGUGUAAGUAACUAUGCACGUCUUGACGGUACCUAAUCCGAAAGCCACGGCUAACUACGUG
This 497-nucleotide ribosomal RNA is filed under the name uncultured bacterium. RNAcentral's name for it is "partial 16S ribosomal RNA". It matches the Rfam family "Bacterial small subunit ribosomal RNA", at positions 28 to 507 of the family's 1533-position model. The record is from RNAcentral.